CCAGCCGCCGCGGUUACACCACGUGGCUCAAGUUGAUUUUAUUCGGCGUAAAGCGUGAUUUAAGAGAUCUGCCCAUGGUGUUAAAAAGGCACUAAGCNNNGACACGCNUGUUCCUAAGAAGCCCAAAAACGAAAGUUACACCAACCGCACUAACUUGAACCCACGACAGCUUGGAAACAAACUGGGAUUAGAUACCCCACUAUGCCNNGCCGUAAACUUUUAUUNACAUCCGAAUCGCCCGGGAACUACGAGCAAAGCUUAAAACCCAAAGGACUUGACGGUAUCCCAAAUCCACCUAGAGGAGCCUGUCCUAUAAUCGAUAACCCCCGCUUAACCUCACCUCUUUUUGCCUUUCAGCCUGUAUACCUCCGUCGUCAGCUUACCACGUGAGUNCCACUAAGNGAGCCUAAUGUCCACACGUCAACACGUCAGGUCAAGGUGCAGCUAAUGAAGAGGGAAGAGAUGGGCUACACUCUCUACUUUAGAAAAAACAAAAAACUUCAUGAAAUCUAGUUAGAAGGAGGAUUUAGUAGUAAAAAGAAAACAGAGUGUUCUUUUUAACCCGGCACUGGGAUGUGUACACNCCGCNCGUCACCCUCUUCAUAGUCUUAUCCAAUUAUUUUAAUAAUCUUCGA
Molecule: ribosomal RNA, 635 nt
Filed under: Leptodactylus wagneri (Wagner's white-lipped frog)
Lineage: Eukaryota; Metazoa; Chordata; Amphibia; Anura; Leptodactylidae
Description: partial small subunit ribosomal RNA
Rfam family: Bacterial small subunit ribosomal RNA
Source: RNAcentral